CUCCCAGCCCUUAACAGGUCCCUGAAAUCACCCCAAACCACGCCCUUUACUUAAUUAUAUGCAAUGGUCAUCAUGCCCAAAUAUGGGCGAUAAUUUAUUGCAAUAUGGCCAGGUUACAACAGCUAGGGUGUGAAAUCGACAAGAUUCCAACAUUUCAUGCGAUCAAGAGGAAUUUGACGCUCCAAAACUGCUAAGUGUUGCAUUGGCCCAAGACGACACAGAACACCCCGUGUUGCAGAAGCCCAAGUUGGACCAGAACACCUCGCUGAAACAGAAUAGAAACAUGUGCUUCUAAGAAGAAAGCUUUGUUUGAUCAUGGCUUAAGAUAUUAAAACAUGAGUGUCUUGUUCUUC
This 353-nucleotide long non-coding RNA is filed under the name Exaiptasia diaphana. RNAcentral describes it as "uncharacterized LOC110245965, transcript variant X2". Lineage: Eukaryota; Metazoa; Cnidaria; Anthozoa; Actiniaria; Aiptasiidae. The record is from RNAcentral.